UACGAAGGGGGCUAGCGUUGCUCGGAAUCACUGGGCGUAAAGCGCACGUAGGCGGAUCUUUAAGUCAGGGGUGAAAUCCUGGAGCUCAACUCCAGAACUGCCUUUGAUACUGGGGAUCUCGAGUCCGGAAGAGGUGAGUGGAACUCCGAGUGUAGAGGUGAAACUCGUAGAUAUUCGGAAGAACACCAGUGGCGAAGGCGGCUCACUGGUCCGGUACUGACGCUGAGGUGCGAAAGCGUGGGGAGCAAACAGG
Molecule: ribosomal RNA, 253 nt
Filed under: uncultured bacterium
Lineage: Bacteria
Description: partial 16S ribosomal RNA
Rfam family: Bacterial small subunit ribosomal RNA
Source: RNAcentral